This 67-nucleotide transfer RNA is filed under the name Anniella geronimensis. Its description in RNAcentral is "tRNA-Cys". Lineage: Eukaryota; Metazoa; Chordata; Lepidosauria; Squamata; Anniellidae. The record is from RNAcentral.
AGAAGCCCGGGAAAUUCAUAAUUUCGACUCCAAGUUUGCAACUUGGCGUGUUUAACACCACCAGACU